Molecule: non-coding RNA, 23 nt
Filed under: Rattus norvegicus (Norway rat)
Lineage: Eukaryota; Metazoa; Chordata; Mammalia; Rodentia; Muridae
Source: RNAcentral
GUUCUUGUUAACUGAUGUGUGUC